This 77-nucleotide non-coding RNA is filed under the name Rhodospirillaceae bacterium. Lineage: Bacteria; Pseudomonadati; Pseudomonadota; Alphaproteobacteria; Rhodospirillales; Rhodospirillaceae. The record is from RNAcentral.
CAAGCCCAGCGUGGUGAUUUGCCGACCGGCUUGCGGCCACGAUAAACAAACCGCUAAAAGGUCGAGGCUCCGGCGCC